This 253-nucleotide ribosomal RNA is filed under the name uncultured bacterium. Its description in RNAcentral is "partial 16S ribosomal RNA". It matches the Rfam family "Bacterial small subunit ribosomal RNA", at positions 524 to 776 of the family's 1533-position model. The record is from RNAcentral.
UACGUAGGGUGCGAGCGUUAAUCGGAAUUACUGGGCGUAAAGCGUGCGCAGGCGGUUUUGUAAGCCAGAUGUGAAAUCCCCGGGCUUAACCUGGGAAUGGCAUUUGGGACUGCAAGGCUCGAGUGCGGCAGAGGAGACUGGAAUUCCUGGUGUAGCAGUGAAAUGCGUAGAUAUCUGGAGGAACACCGGUGGCGAAGGCGGCAUCCUGGACCGACACUGACACUGAGGAGCGAAAGCGUGGGGAGCAAACAGG